This 646-nucleotide ribosomal RNA is filed under the name Enterobacter hormaechei. Its description in RNAcentral is "bacterial SSU rRNA". It matches the Rfam family "Bacterial small subunit ribosomal RNA", at positions 555 to 1202 of the family's 1533-position model. The record is from RNAcentral. Lineage: Bacteria; Pseudomonadati; Pseudomonadota; Gammaproteobacteria; Enterobacterales; Enterobacteriaceae.
UGGGCGUAAGCGCACGCAGGCGGUCUGUCAAGUCGGAUGUGAAAUCCCCGGGCUCAACCUGGGAACUGCAUUCGAAACUGGCAGGCUAGAGUCUUGUAGAGGGGGGUAGAAUUCCAGGUGUAGCGGUGAAAUGCGUAGAGAUCUGGAGGAAUACCGGUGGCGAAGGCGGCCCCCUGGACAAAGACUGACGCUCAGGUGCGAAAGCGUGGGGAGCAAACAGGAUUAGAUACCCUGGUAGUCCACGCCGUAAACGAUGUCGACUUGGAGGUUGUGCCCUUGAGGCGUGGCUUCCGGAGCUAACGCGUUAAGUCGACCGCCUGGGGAGUACGGCCGCAAGGUUAAAACUCAAAUGAAUUGACGGGGGCCCGCACAAGCGGUGGAGCAUGUGGUUUAAUUCGAUGCAACGCGAAGAACCUUACCUACUCUUGACAUCCAGAGAACUUUGCAGAGAUGGAUUGGUGCCUUCGGGAACUCUGAGACAGGUGCUGCAUGGCUGUCGUCAGCUCGUGUUGUGAAAUGUUGGGUUAAGUCCCGCAACGAGCGCAACCCUUAUCCUUUGUUGCCAGCGGUUAGGCCGGGAACUCAAAGGAGACUGCCAGUGAUAAACUGGAGGAAGGUGGGGAUGACGUCAAGUCAUCAUGGCCCU